GAGGGUAGAGCUCAGUGGUAGAGUGAGUGCUUAGCAUGCACAAUGUCCUGCGUUCAAUCCCCAGCGCCUCCA
RNAcentral lists this transfer RNA (72 nucleotides) under Camelus bactrianus (Bactrian camel). It matches the Rfam family "tRNA". Rfam says of the family: Transfer RNA (tRNA) molecules are approximately 80 nucleotides in length. Their secondary structure includes four short double-helical elements and three loops (D, anti-codon, and T loops). RNAcentral also lists the same sequence under 2 other names. The record is from Rfam by way of RNAcentral. Lineage: Eukaryota; Metazoa; Chordata; Mammalia; Artiodactyla; Camelidae.